Long non-coding RNA from Malus domestica (apple), 1445 nucleotides. RefSeq lists it as uncharacterized. Lineage: Eukaryota; Viridiplantae; Streptophyta; Magnoliopsida; Rosales; Rosaceae. The record is from RefSeq and is a predicted model, not a curated record.
GACUAGCAGGACAGAGAAGUAAGAAUGUCUCAGAUUCACCGUUUUGAUGAAGAUCCCUCUCUCUCUCUCUCUCUCUCUCUCUCUCUCUCUCUCUCUCUCUCUCUAACUUAAUGAGGUUGUUUAUGAGAAGGGUAGCUCUAUCUAGUAGCUGGCCAGCUCCUAGAGUCGUCCUCUCAGUUGAGUGUUGAGGAAAUUCUGGAAUAUAUGAUUUAGGCGUGAGUUGAGCAAGAUGGAGAAGCAGGGCACGUGCAUUUCUAACUCAUUCGCAUAUACUGAGAUGUAUAUACUCAAUACUCUUAUUUUUCUCUGAGCUGCUAAAUUAUUACAAGUUUACAGAUAUAUAUCUCAUAUCCAGUGAUGAGUUAGUUGUUCAUGUGCCCCUCUUCCCCAUCAUGACCACUCCACCUUAUUGCUUCUAUGAAGAUUGUCACCGUAGAUCAUAACCAUGCGGACAUUCCAAUUCAUGUAUUCAGAAAAUGCUGAAUAAUUAGCUCCACUUCAGAUGCAGAGUCUGAUGCGCCUCUCAUCCGGUGAAGAAGAGGUGGGUUUCCUGGGCCCCUCAUUGGGUCGGAGCUUCCUAUCUCUCAUUCGUUCCCUCUGGAGUAAGCUUCUAAGUGAGAUGAUCUCGGCUUGUUCAUAAAUCGGCUGAUCACUCCCACUAUAUAUAUAUAUAUAUAUAUAUAUAUAUAUAUAUAUAUAUAUAUAUAUAUAUAUAUAUAUAAUCAUCCAAAGUGGUAUAGACAAAAGGGAAAUUGCUUUUUAGGUUUUCAAUUGUCCCCCUAGUAUGAGGAGGGAAGUUUUCCAAUUCUGGAAGUAAAAAAGGCUUAUGAAAAGCAAGCAAACCCCGUCAAGGUCUCACCAUAAUUGCUAUGAACAUCAUUUUUAUAACAAUGAUAUAGUUGGACAAUUUAACUGUGAUUACGAGAACUUAUUAGUCUUUUCACUUUCUCACUAAUCGAACAUUUUUUUUCUUUAAUUUCUGGAAUCCUUCAUAUUGCUCCUGUUGUUAUUCUUGUGCGGCUACUGAGGUAAAUCAACAUUAUUUGAGGGACUGGCUUGCAACAGUGAUGUAACUUUUGUAGAGGGACUUGCUUGCAACGGCAAUGUAACUUUUGUGACCUAACGACGAAGAGGGACUUGCCAGCAACAUGAAUAUAGCUUUUUCUGCGUCUUAAUCACAACAAAGACUUGCUUACAGUGAGGAUAGACCCUUUUGUGGUAUCCCCUUAUGUGUCUUUCUCACUUUUCAUAUGAUUAAAGAUAAUGCGGAGUGAGAAAGACACAUAAGGGCUAUUAUAUCUUCGUUGCAGGCAAGUCCCUCUUUGUGUUAGUGUUUAUUAAAUGAAUUGAAUUGUAUUUCUUUGAAUUUUAUUCAAUUUUGGAGAAAGAAAAUUGUUUAAGCUAUCUGAGUUUGAGGAAGAAGAAGGGUGGAGUUCAUGGCUCAA